AGAGCUCGCAGCAGCUGGUGUCUGACAAAUUAUCCCGUUCCAGACAGGCAAAUGGUGACUUGAGCUCCAGCAGUCAAAUGGAUGUGUGUUUGGUGUGCCCCUGUGUGCCGGGCAGGGUGGGCUAAAUCCUCUGCUGGAGGAAAUCGUCAUGGUUCCCCCCGCAGUCCAGUGCUUUCACCUCCGCUGAAGGUGACUUUUCCUCCCCAGCUGCUGCUGGCCAGGUUCAGCUUAAGACACUGCAAAGAAUGGAGGGCUGCGAGCCUGGAGGGUCCGAGGUGCUCCUCACAGGAAAGAAGGACCUAAUUCAUUUCCCACUGAAACCAGCAGAAGGAAUUUCACUGAGUUCACUCCACAUUGUAUCAGACCACAAAUGAAAGUGAAUGUUAACUACAUUGCAGAGCAUGGAAAAAAUCAUCUUGACUUGCAAGAAGUCAGACUUCCUCUAGGAACCCAAAAUGUCCUUCAGUGGAACUAUUAAAGCAAAGAGAAGACUCUGGACUUCAGUCUGAAUGACAAUAAAGACCCUGUUUCUGCACAACACAAGCACAAUCAUUUCGAACUGCCUUAGAUGUAAGGCUGUAAUCCAGGAAGGUGUUUAUACACAUGCCUGCCUGUAAACAAAUGCUUAAUCCCAUUGGAAUCAAUUGGGCCUCAACUCACCUCGAGUUUUCUUUGCUGUGAUGAAUUUAAACAUCUGCAUUGAAGAGAAAAUUGCUCACAGCACCCUAAUCUUUAACAAGCACUGGAAAAAGUUUGCAGUGAAAUCAGCAGGACUUCAGGCAAUGUGAAGGCCUUUCUGAAUCCAGCCUUGUCCAGGCCCCCAAAUCUUCCAAGAGCAAAGGGUGCUGGAUGAAGCCAUAGAUGCAACUAGAUGUUUUCACACUUCUGCAACCCC
Lagopus leucura (white-tailed ptarmigan) is the source of this 895-nucleotide long non-coding RNA. RefSeq lists it as uncharacterized. The transcript is spliced from 3 exons. The record is from RefSeq and is a predicted model, not a curated record. NCBI's taxonomy places the organism in Eukaryota, Metazoa, Chordata, Aves, Galliformes, Phasianidae.